This 225-nucleotide long non-coding RNA is filed under the name Panax ginseng (ginseng). RNAcentral's name for it is "long non-coding RNA (PGIN_LNC006295)". Lineage: Eukaryota; Viridiplantae; Streptophyta; Magnoliopsida; Apiales; Araliaceae. The record is from RNAcentral.
AGUUUAAACGUUGAGCACAAGCAGGAGAGAUAAAUGAAUGGGUAGCACCGGUAUCUAGUAAGGUAUAAACUUCGCAAGAAUUUAUGAUUAGCUUACCCGUGAUCACCUCGUUUGGGUUCCUCGUAUUUUGACCAGUCACGACAAACGCUCUUCCAAGAACCGUUGACUUUGACUUUUCUGGGACAGCCUUUUGAGUCACCAUCCCCGCUGGACUUGGUUUCGCUA